This 1324-nucleotide ribosomal RNA is filed under the name Hemerobius spodipennis. RNAcentral describes it as "16S ribosomal RNA". Lineage: Eukaryota; Metazoa; Arthropoda; Insecta; Neuroptera; Hemerobiidae. The record is from RNAcentral.
UUAAUAUAAAAUUAUUAAUUUUUAUAAUUAAAUUAAUUUUUAAUAAAAAUAAUUUUAAAUUUUAAAGUUUUUGUAUUAUUUAUAAAUUAAAUAAUUUUAAUAAUAAUAUAUUUGUAUAGUAAUAGAUAUUUGAAAUAUUUUUUUUAUUAUUUUAAAAGUAAAUUUAAUUUAUUGUACCUUUUGUAUCAGGGUUUAUUUAAUAAAAUUUUUAUAUUAAAAUUUCUCGAAUUUAAAAGAGUUAAAAUUAUAUAAAAUAUAUUGUGGUAUAAUUAUUUUAAAUAUAAUUUUAGUAAUGAAAUGUUAUUCGUUUUUAAAUAUAUCUAGUUUUUUAAGAAAUGAAUUUAAUUCAUAUAUUUAAUUAAAUUAAUUUAAUUUUAAAAUUAAAAUUUAUUUAAAUAUAAAAAUUUUUAGGGAUUAGCUUAAAAAUUUUAAUUUAUAAAUAUAAAUAUUAUAUUAAAAAAUUAAUAAAAUUAGAAAUUUUUAUUUAUAAAUAAAAUGUUAUAAUUAAUUUAUAUUUAAUAUUAAUUUUUUUAAUUAUUUUAAAUUUAUUAUUAAAAUAAUAUUUUUAAUUAUUGUAAUAUAUAAUAAUGAUAAAAUUAGUAUUAAUUUAUUUAUAAAUAAAAAUUUUAUUAAGAUAAAAAUAAGGAAUUCAGCAAAUAUAAUACUCACCUGUUUAUCAAAAACAUGUCUUUUAGAUUAUAAUUUAAAGUCUAACCUGCCCACUGAUUUAAUUAUUUAAAGGCCGCAGUAUUUUGACUGUGCAAAGGUAGCAUAAUCAUUUGUCUUUUAAUUGAAGGCUGGAAUGAAUGGUUGAAUGAAGUAUUAACUGUCUCAUUUUUAUAAAUUAAGAAUUUAGCUUUUUAAUUAAAAGGUUAAAAUUAAAUUAAAAGACGAGAAGACCCUAUAGAUUUUUAUAUUAUAUUAUAUUAAUUUUAUUAAGUAAAAAAUUUUAUAAUUAUAUAAUUUAAUAUUUGAUUGGGGUGAUUAAAAAAUUUAAUAAACUUUUUUUUUAUUUAAACAUUAAUAUAUGAUUUAUUGAUCCAAUAAUAUUGAUUAAAAGAUUAAAUUACCUUAGGGAUAACAGCGUAAUUUUUUUAGAGAGUUCUUAUCGAUAAAAAAGAUUGCGACCUCGAUGUUGAAUUAAAGGUUAUUUUUAAAUGUAGAAGUUUAAAGUUUAGGUCUGUUCGACCUUUGAAUCUUUACAUGAUUUGAGUUCAGACCGGUGUAAGCCAGGUCGGUUUCUAUCUUUAAUUAAAUAAAAUGUUCUAGUACGAAAGGACCGAAUAUUUAAAAUAUUUUUUAUUAUAAUGAAUAUUAAUAAUUA